UUGAGGGGUAUCCCCAUGCAUGAUUUGUAAAGUUCUUUAACCCCGUGAAGUUGGCAAUUUUUUCACCAAUCAGCUUUCCUACCAGGCUUCCUUUACACUCAGAGACUCCUUCUGCCAAGUCCUCACCACUCAGAUCGACACCUCCUAACUCUGUUUCAGACAAGUCGAAAUUUUGGAAGGCUCUUUCUAAAGCAUCCGCCAUUCCUGUGACUUGAGCUCCUUGAGAAACCAAGCACUAUUUCUGAGCUAUGAGAGACCCACUGACAGACCUGUGAAGAAAAACAAGGACAGACAAAGCGGUGUUAUCCGUACCCACUAAAAACCAACCAGAAGACAGAGAGGCACUUGACAGGAAAAGCACAGGCACAAGAAAAAAUGAGAAGAAAAAAAGAAAAACCAAAACAAACCACUAUCCCACUACGACCACAUUACAGCAAUAAAGAAAG
This 446-nucleotide long non-coding RNA is filed under the name Coffea arabica (coffee). RNAcentral's name for it is "long non-coding RNA (CARA_LNC007152)". Lineage: Eukaryota; Viridiplantae; Streptophyta; Magnoliopsida; Gentianales; Rubiaceae. The record is from RNAcentral.